This 77-nucleotide ribosomal RNA is filed under the name bacterium. RNAcentral's name for it is "partial 16S ribosomal RNA". It matches the Rfam family "Bacterial small subunit ribosomal RNA", at positions 1 to 77 of the family's 1533-position model. The record is from RNAcentral.
ACAACGGAGAGUUUGAUCCUGGCUCAGAACGAACACUGGCGGCAUGGAUUAGGCAUGCAAGUCGAACGAGAACGCUC